AGAGUUUGAUCAUGGCUCAGGACGAACGCUGGCGGCGUGCUUAAUACAUGCAAGUCGAGCGGUUCUUCUUCGGAAGAGCAGCGGCGGACGGGUGAGGAACACGUGAGUAACCGGGCAUCCAGUGGGGGAUAUCGGGCCGAAAGGCGCGGCAAUCCCGCAUACGUCCCGGUCCCGCAAGGGGCCGGGGGAAAGGCCUUCGGGUCGCUGGAUGGGGGGCUCGCGGCCCAUUAGCUAGUUGGGGGGGUAACGGCCUCCCAAGGCGACGAUGGGUAGCCGGCCUGAGAGGGUGAUCGGCCACACUGGGACUGAGACACGGCCCAGACUCCUACGGGAGGCAGCAGUAGGGAAUCUUCCACAAUGGGCGCAAGCCUGAUGGAGCAACGCCGCGUGAGUGAAGACGGCCUUCGGGUUGUAAAGCUCUGUCUGUCGGGACGAGGGCCCGGGUGCAAACCCGGGCGGGACGGUACCGGCGGAGGAAGCCCCUGCAAACUACGUGCCAGCAGCCGCGGUAAGACGUAGGGGGCAAGCGUUGUCCGGAAUUACUGGGCGUAAAGGGCGUGUAGGCGGUUUCACACGUAGCGGUUUUCAGCCGCCGGCUCACCCGGCGGAGGGCGGCUAAACGGUGGAACUGGAGGGCAGGAGAGGUGCACGGAAUUCCUGGUGGAGCGGUGAAAUGCGUAGAGAUCAGGAAGAACACCGGUGGCGAAGGCGGUGCACUGGCCUGGCCCUGACGCUGAGGCGCGACAGCGUGGGGAGCAAACGGGAUUAGAUACCCCGGUAGUCCACGCCGUAAACGAUGGAUACUAGGUGUCGCGGGGGUCCACCCGGCGGUGCCGGAGCUAACGCACUAAGUAUCCCGCCUGGGGAGUACGGCCGCAAGGUUGAAACUCAAAGGAAUUGACGGGGGCCCGCACAAGCAGUGGAGCAUGUGGUUUAAUU
Molecule: ribosomal RNA, 939 nt
Filed under: Sulfobacillus acidophilus
Lineage: Bacteria; Bacillati; Bacillota; Clostridia; Eubacteriales; Clostridiales Family XVII. Incertae Sedis
Description: bacterial SSU rRNA
Rfam family: Bacterial small subunit ribosomal RNA
Source: RNAcentral